This 471-nucleotide ribosomal RNA is filed under the name uncultured bacterium. RNAcentral describes it as "partial 16S ribosomal RNA". It matches the Rfam family "Bacterial small subunit ribosomal RNA", at positions 28 to 507 of the family's 1533-position model. The record is from RNAcentral.
GACGAACGCUGGCGGCGUGCUUAACACAUGCAAGUCGAACGAUGAAGCCUAGCUUGCUAGGUGGAUUAGUGGCGAACGGGUGAGUAAUACGUGAGUAACCUACCUUUAACUCUGGGAUAAGCCUGGGAAACUGGGUCUAAUACCGGAUACGACCAAUCUCCGCAUGGGGUGUUGGUGGAAAGCGUUAUGUAGUGGUUAUAGAUGGGCUCACGGCCUAUCAGCUUGUUGGUGAGGUAACGGCUCACCAAGGCGACGACGGGUAGCCGGCCUGAGAGGGUGACCGGCCACACUGGGACUGAGACACGGCCCAGAAGCCUACGGGAGGCAGCAGUGGGGAAUAUUGCACAAUGGGCGCAAGCCUGAUGCAGCGACGCCGCGUGAGGGAUGACGGCCUUCGGGUUGUAAACCUCUGUUAGCAGGGAAGAAGAGAAAUUGACGGUACCUGCAGAGAAAGCGCCGGCUAACUACGUG